GCUUGUCUCAAAGAUUAAGCCAUGCACGUCUGAGAAUAAAGAGUUUUCUCUGAAUCUGCGAAUGGCUCAUUAUAUCAGUUAUAGUUUAUUUGAUAGUCCUUUACUACUUGGAUAACCGUAGUAAUUCUAGAGCUAAUACAUGCACCCGUGCCCGACUUUGUGGAAGGGUUGUGUUUAUUAGUUACAGAACCAGCCCAGGCUCUGCCUGGUCUUGUGGUGAUUCAUAAUAACCGAACGAAUCGUAUGGCAUCAGCUGGCGAUGAAUCAUUCAAGUUUCUGACCUAUCAGCUUCCGACGGUAGGGUAUUGGCCUACCGUGGCAAUGACGGGUAACGGAGAAUUAGGGUUCGAUUCCGGAGAGGGAGCCUGAGAAACGGCUACCACAUCUAAGGAAGGCAGCAGG
Molecule: ribosomal RNA, 402 nt
Filed under: Azadinium dalianense
Lineage: Eukaryota; Dinophyceae; Gonyaulacales; Amphidomataceae
Description: partial small subunit ribosomal RNA
Rfam family: Eukaryotic small subunit ribosomal RNA
Source: RNAcentral